RNAcentral lists this small RNA (125 nucleotides) under Ahrensia marina. Its description in RNAcentral is "Rhizobiales sRNA Atu_C8". It matches the Rfam family "Rhizobiales sRNA Atu_C8". The record is from Rfam by way of RNAcentral. Lineage: Bacteria; Pseudomonadati; Pseudomonadota; Alphaproteobacteria; Hyphomicrobiales; Ahrensiaceae.
UAUGACCAAUAUUAUUCUAAUCGUGGUGGGACGGCGCAUGGGCAAGAUGGUGUAACCAUCUGGCGAAAGCUCCCAUGCGCGGUAAACAACAGGCUCCUAAAGGGAGCCUUUUUUAUUGCCUUUUG